UGACAACAGUACUGUACCCCCGCCAACAGAGGGCAGUUUAGGAUGUAGUACUGUUGUCAGCCAACAGAGGUUUUCAUUCUCACCUUGUACUUGAUUGAUUAAUAAGGUUACUAAUUGGUUAGUUUCGACCCUCACCUGGUCAUUCAGAUCUGAAAUGUGAGGGUAUAGGGCAGUGCAGUGUGUAAUACUGUUGUCAGCCACAGAUGGCAAUUCAGGGUGUAAUACUUUUGUCAGCCAACAGAUGGCAGUACAGGGUGUAAUACUGUUACACCCUGAGUGUCAGGACCUGAGUGGAUCGGUUUUCCAAGAUGAUCCGGUUCGUUCCACUACCCGGGCCUCUCUGCUGCACUCCAGUUCGCUGAAGUGCUGUUUCUGCUGGUUUUCUGGCUGUAUGGACUUCCGGGGACAUCGUUUCCAACCCCGGCCAACCACUCUUCCAGGUGGUCCUUGGGUUCCAGCCUCUGCUUCUCCCCUGGUUUCCAGCAACGUCCAGGCCGAGGAGAAAUGGUUCAGGAAGUCCAAUGAGGUCUUAUCUGCUGCCCAUGUCUGCCUACAGGAGGCAGUGCAGCAUCAGAAAAUGCAGACCGACCAUCAGUGGAGCCAUGCCCCGGAGUUCUGCCCGGGGGACCUUCCGCUCCGUCAGCUCAGUUGUCGGUGGUUCCUGGUCUGCUGGGGGGAUCCGGUCCCACAGUGGCAUCUCUGCCUCCGGUGGAGGUAGCAGGGGCUCUGGCGUACAAAGUGGAGGUGAUUCUGGACUCCUGACUAUGGCGCGGCUCGGUCCAGUACCUGGAGGACUGGGCGGGAUACGGUCCCGAGGAGUAGAACUGGGAGCCGAGUUCCAUGCCGCUUCCCGGAUCGGCCUGCUCCCGGCCCACGGGACCACCCGGGUCGUCGGCAGGUGGCAUCAUCAGGAGCUCCGCCUGGUGUUGCAUGCUCUCUCCCUCUCUGGCGUACUAACUGCCCGGCUGGAUGACAAAUUAGUUGUUUCUGCUUUUAUCUUUAGCACACUGGCCACACACAGAACAACUUGUCACCUCAGCUACAGCAUCAUACUGUAGCCAGCCUCUUGAAACUCCUCUAUCUCUAAACCUCCAAAUAUCACAGAACUUUUUUUUCUAUGUCUUUUUUUUUAAUGUAUUGCAAUAGCGUCAUGACAAUACUUCCAUCCAUCCAUCAUCUUCCGCUUAUCCGGGGCCGGGUCGCGGGGGCAGCAGUCUAAGCAGGGAUGCCCAGACUUCCCUCUCCCCAGACACUUCCUCUAGCUCUUCCGGGGGGACACCGAGGCGUUCCCAGUCCAGCCGGGAGACAUAGUCCCUCCAGCGUGUCCUAGGUUUUCCCCAGGGUCUCCUUCCGGUGGGACGGGACCGGAACACCUUCCCAGGAAGGCGCUCCGGAGG
Molecule: long non-coding RNA, 1397 nt
Organism: Esox lucius (northern pike)
Lineage: Eukaryota; Metazoa; Chordata; Actinopteri; Esociformes; Esocidae
Source: Ensembl